Molecule: ribosomal RNA, 400 nt
Filed under: uncultured bacterium
Lineage: Bacteria
Description: bacterial SSU rRNA
Rfam family: Bacterial small subunit ribosomal RNA
Source: RNAcentral
GGGGAAUAUUGCACAAUGGAGGAAACUCUGAUGCAGCAACGCCGCGUGAGUGAUGAAGGUCUUCGGAUUGUAAAGCUCUGUCUUCUGGGACGAUAAUGACGGUACCAGAGGAGGAAGCCACGGCUAACUACGUGCCAGCAGCCGCGGUAAUACGUAGGUGGCAAGCGUUGUCCGGAUUUACUGGGCGUAAAGGGUGCGCAGGCGGACAUUUAAGUGAGAUGUGAAAGACCCGGGCUUAACUUGGGCAGUGCAUUUCAAACUGGAUGUCUAGAGUGCAGGAGAGGAGAACGGAAUUCCUAGUGUAGCGGUGAAAUGCGUAGAGAUUAGGAAGAAUACCAGUGGCGAAGGCGACUUUCUGGACUGUAACUGACACUGAGGCUCGAAAGCGUGGGGAGCAAAC